This 2147-nucleotide ribosomal RNA is filed under the name Opisthomitus sp. IyOpi. RNAcentral's name for it is "partial small subunit ribosomal RNA". It matches the Rfam family "Eukaryotic small subunit ribosomal RNA". The record is from RNAcentral. Lineage: Eukaryota; Preaxostyla; Oxymonadida.
UCAAAGAUUAAGCCAUGCAUGUCUAAGUAUAAGCAAUUUAUAUGUGUGAAACUGCGAAUGGCUCAUUAAAUCGGUUAUAAAGUAUUUGAUAGUGAAAAACUAUAUGGAUAGCCAUAGUAAUUCUAGAGCUAAUACAUGCGUAAAGGCCUAACUCGUUGAGGGAAAGGCGGUGUUUAUUAGAUUGAAAACCAGCAGCAGCGGUUUGUUUCCUUAGGGGAAGGAACUAGUUUGCAAAAUAUAAAUGGUGAGUCAUAAUAAAUGAGCGAAUCUUCGGUUGACGAAGAUGAAACAUUUCUAUUUCCGCUCUAUCAACUGUGGCGUUAAGGUAGUGGCUUAACGAAGUUUUGACGGAUAACGGAGAAUUAGGGUUCGAUUCUGGAGAGGGAGCCUGAGAAACGGCUACCACUUCUAAGGAAGGCAGCAGGCGCGAAAAUUACCCAAUCCCAAUCAUCUUGGGGAGGUAGUGACAAAAAAUAACAAUGUAGGGUUCAAUAGAAUUCUGCAAUUGUAAUGGACUGGAUGUAAACUAUCCAGUGAGUAACAAUUAGAGGGCAAGUCUGGUGCCAGCAGCCGCGGUAAUUCCAGCUCUAAUAGUGUAUACUAAAAUUGCUGCAGUUAAAAAGCUCGUAGUUGGAUUUUAGGCGGAGCUGUAUACCAAUUUGAUUGGGGGUAUUUAUUGAUCUGAGGGGGAGGCUAAUCCUUGUAUCUAAAGGUAGCCUUUAUUUAUCUUUCAGACAAGGUACUCUUUUUUUUUUUAAAUCAAUCAAUCAAGUAGGUUGUUUCGCCGAGUUUUUUUCGGGUUGGCUUUGUCCUCUUGGUUGAGUGGCAAAGUUGAUUCGGAGGAUUUACUUUGAAGAAAAUGUAGUGUUCAAAGCAGGCGUUUGCAGCUGAACACAUUAGCAUGGAAUAAUAAAAUAAGACAUCGACGAUUGAUUACCGCCUAGUUAAGGUUCGUCUCUUAAAAUUUUUUUUUUUUUUUUUUUUUUUCAAUUCUUUUUAUUUUUCUUUGAUUAAAAUAUUUUUUUUUUUUUAAUCUUUCAUAAGAUAAAAAAAAAGAUUUUUUUUUCAAAGAAAAAGAUAAGAAGUAAAUUUGAGAAAAAAAAUAAAAAAAUAAAAUGUUGGGAUUUAAGAAAGACUAGGUAAGGGAUUAAUCUACAAAUAAAAAUGUAUUCGUUUUUUUGGUUCAUGGAGUUGAUGUAAUGAUUAAUAGGAAUAGUCGGGGAUAUACGUAUUGCAUUGUCAGAGGUGAAAUUCUUGGAUUUUUGCAAGACGAACUAAUGCGAAAGCAUUUACCAAGGAUGUUUUCAUUAAUCAAGAACGAAAGUAAGGGGAUCGAAGACGAUCAGAAACCGUUGUAGUCCUUGCCAUAAACUAUACCGUCUAAGGAUCGGUGGUUUGUUAUAAAUUAAGACACCUCCGGCACUUUUAGAGAAAUCAUAAGUCUCUGGGUUCUGGGGGGAGUAUGGUCGCAAGGCUGAAACUUAAAGAAAUUGACGGAAGGGCACCACCAGGUGUGGAGCCUGCGGCUUAAUUUGACUCAACACGGGGAAACUUACCAGGUCCGGACGCGGGAAGGAUUGACAGAUUGAUAGCUCUUUCUUGGUUCCGUGGGUGGUGGUGCAUGGUCGUUCUUAGUUGGUGGAGUGAUUUGUCUGGUUAAUUCCGAUAACGAACGAGACCUCAACCUACUAAAUAGCCAGGUUUCAAGUUUAAGUGUUGGUGGGGAAACUCAUUGAUUCUGCUUGAGACUAGAAAAAUAAUUGGUUUCUUCUUAGGGGGACUACCGUAUUUUUUUUAAGCGGGGGAAGCAUGAGGCAAUAACAGGUCUGUGAUGCCCUUAGAUGUCCUGGACCGCACGCGUACUACAAUGAUGCAGUCAGCGAGUUUGUCCUGUCCCGAAAGGGGUUAGGUAAUCUUUUAAAACUGCAUCGUACUGGGGAUUGAUCUUUGUAAUUCUGGAUCAUGAACAAGGAAUACCUAGUAGGUACGAUUCAUCAGAUCGUGCCGAUUACGUCCCUGCCCUUUGUACACACCGCCCGUCGCUCCUACCGAUGAUUGUUCAGAUGAAAUGCUCGGAUUGUGCAGUUGUGGUUGUUUGCGCAGCUAUUUACUGUUCUGGAGAAGAGUAGUAAAUCUUAACAGUUAGA